This 1779-nucleotide long non-coding RNA is filed under the name Homo sapiens (human). RNAcentral's name for it is "novel transcript". The record is from RNAcentral. Lineage: Eukaryota; Metazoa; Chordata; Mammalia; Primates; Hominidae.
GCCUACCGGUGGCCGGGCGGGAUGUAACCCGCUGCUGAGCUGGCAGCUCUGUGUCGCUAGGCUUCGGCCCGGCCGCCGCCGCACAUAAGCUGCGAGGAGGAGCUUUACGACUUCCCGGUCUUCGGGGCCGGGCGCAGCAAGGGCCAGACUCUGCGCUAGCAGGCGCUGCGCGCCAACCGGCCGGCACCUGUCGCAGAAGGUGCAACCGAUCGCACUGUCGCGCCGAAGCUCCUCAAUGGCCAGCGCCAGCUGCAGCCCCGGCCGCCCACUCGCCUCACCUGAGCCUGGGCGAAUCUGGAUUGGGAAAGUUGACAUUAAUCAACUCAUUAUUCCUCCCAGAUUUGUAUUCUCCAGAGUAUCCGGGUCCUUCUCAGAGAAUUAAAAAGCCUGUACAGGAGCUUGAAAAAUCACAUUUGAGAAGAGGAUUGGAUCCUAGCCAUAACAUAAAUAUAAGGGUGGAACCAAAGUUUUAAUCAAAGAAGGUGGUGUUCAGUUGCUGCUUACAAUAGUUGAUACCCCAGGAUUUGGAGAUGCAGUGGAUAACAGUAAUUGCUGGCAGCCUGUUAUCAAUUACAUUGAUAUUAAAUUUGAGGACUACCUAAAUGCAGAAUCGCGAGUGAACAGAUGUCAGAUGCCUGGUAACAGGGUGCAGUGUUGUUUAUACUUCAUUGCUCCUUCAGGACAUGGACCAUUACAUAACUGAAGACUCCCACCUUCAGGCAGGAUUGGGUAGUACGUGUUUGUAACUACCUGGCAUUGCCUUUUGUUGAGGAAGGGUAGAUGUCUACCCAAAUGGAAUAUUGAGUAUCAGAGACUUCAAAUGAUAACUUUUGUUUGUUUGGAGAAAAUCUUGAGGACGUGAUCACUGUACAAAAGCAUGGCAAAAUGAGGAAACCACUGACAGGUGAAGAAUUUGCACAAUGGAAAACCACCUUGACCAUCUCAUGACUUUAUACAGGAAUCGGAGACAUCCAAGGCCAUUCCAUUUCUAAAUCACACUUAUCCCUCAAUCAAGUCAGUGACUGGAUCAUCUCCUAAGGUUUCACCUGCUUUGCAUCAGGGCAGGGUUCCACUCCCAUUGCCCAGGCUGGAGUGCAGUGGCGUGAUCUUGGCUCACUGCAACCCCCUCCUCCCCUAUUCAAGCAAUUCUUCUGCCUCAGUCUUCUAAGUGGCUGGGACUACAAGCGCGUGCCACCACACCCGCGCUUAUAAUAGAAAAUAAUUUUUCUGUUUUUUUGUAGGGAUGGGGUUUCACCAUGUUGGCCAGGCUGGCCUCGAACUCCUGAGCUCAAGUGAUCAACCUGCCUCUGCCUCCCAAAGUGCUGGGAUUACAGGUGUAAGCCACCAUGCCCGGCCUCUGAUUUUUCUAUAGUGAGAACAUAACUAUUUCUGUAAUAAUAUUAAAAAUACUUGUCAGUAUCACAUAGAAUUUUCAACAGCAGAUUCAAAUAAAAUGAAUCCUUGUGUGUGUGUAUAUAUAUAUAUAUAAAUGUAGAAGGAUAACAUCUAUAAUAGGUGAUUACUAUGUUGACUGUAUUUACAGGGAUGGAGAAAACUCAAAAGAGCCAUUAGUAUUUUUAAUGGAGAAACUCUUAAUCCAAUCAAUAAGGAAAGCAACUGUUAUGGAAAGAAUGAGAUGUCCAAGUGUUUGAAACAAUGCUCUGAACACACUUCAUACUUCUGAGGAAGAGCUUUGAACAAAGGAGUAAACAAGUAGAAUGCUGAGAAAAAUAGGGAGACGACAGUGGCACAUGACACCUAGUUUUUUUUUUUUUUUUU